RNAcentral lists this transfer RNA (65 nucleotides) under Labriocimbex sinicus. RNAcentral's name for it is "tRNA-Thr". The record is from RNAcentral. Lineage: Eukaryota; Metazoa; Arthropoda; Insecta; Hymenoptera; Cimbicidae.
GUUUUAAUAAUUUAAACAAAAAUAUUGAUUUUGUAAAUCAAAAAUAAGUAAAUUCUUUUAAAACU